Molecule: transfer RNA, 72 nt
Filed under: Armatimonadota bacterium
Lineage: Bacteria; Bacillati; Armatimonadota
Description: Armatimonadetes bacterium tRNA-Asp
Rfam family: tRNA
About the family: Transfer RNA (tRNA) molecules are approximately 80 nucleotides in length. Their secondary structure includes four short double-helical elements and three loops (D, anti-codon, and T loops).
Source: RNAcentral
GCGCUCGUGGUGUAGUGGUGAACAUGACGGUCUGUCCAACCGUCGAGGCGGGUUCGAUCCCCGUCGAGCGCG